RNAcentral lists this long non-coding RNA (10443 nucleotides) under Heterocephalus glaber (naked mole-rat). RNAcentral's name for it is "lncRNA (ENSHGLG00100050305.1)". Lineage: Eukaryota; Metazoa; Chordata; Mammalia; Rodentia; Bathyergidae. The record is from RNAcentral.
GACAGAACAAUCUGUGUAUUUUUGCAAUUGCAGUAAGUAGCUGUAGAAAGCAUUGUGAUAACAUCAAUAGAAGCACAGUAUGGUAAUGUAAAAUUAAUGAGCAAGAUGGCAAUCUCCUCUUUCGGCAAAUCGUGUUUUGUAAUACAGCACACCCUCUCAAUUAGUCUGUUCUCAGGGGCCAUAAAAUGUGGGUAUUGUGGUGAAAUGAGGGUUCAGAGAUGUGGGGGAUCACUGAAGGAGAUCAAUUGGAUGGAUACACAAUGAAUAAGGGCAGAAUAUGGGUUAUAAAGGGAUGUAGAUGACCACAUAGAGCAUUGCUGCUUUUGAAUUCAUUCGUUGAUUCCCCUAUAAUGAUCAGCAAUAUGGUUGAAGUCUAACUGACUUGUAUUUAGCAAAAUAAAGUGAAUAACUCAGUAAACAAAAGUCACCAUAGAUGGCAACCCCCUUUUUCUGCUUUCCCUAAGUGGUGGGUGUGCAGCAUCUAGCGAGGCCAACAAUACAUAAGCUAAUCUUGCUUCCCAUAGUAAUUAUUACUUUCAUCACUGAGACUGAGAUUAACAUUUCCCUCCGUGUAGAGAUCCAAAUCUUGUAAUAAAUACAGAACUGGAUUCUUAACCAGAAGGGCUACAGGGCACACUGAGACUCAUUGGUUCAAAACUGUUGAAUUACAGGAAAUCAGAGAGUGGGAGGAACAAACUUUGGAGAGGGUCCAAAUUGUGUGUUGCCUCAAAAUAAUUCCAGAGGAUCAGAUGCCACUGGAGCACUGACGAGGCUUGAAUGUUGGGCCGGCCCAAUCUCAAGCUGAAAUAUAACUGCUGUCAUAAAAGGUGAUUAGGCCAGGAAGGCUCUGUCCUCACGAACGGUUUAACGCCGCCAUCAUGGGUGUGGUUCAUGAUGAAGGUGAAUUCUCAUCCUCGUGCCUUGUCUUGUCCUCAUCCUUUUGCCAUCGGGUGGCACAGAAUUGCCAGAUGCUGGUACUUGGUUUUACAAUUUCCAGCCUCCAGAACUGCAAGAAAACACAUUUCUUUUCUUUACAAAUUCCCCAGUCUCAGGCAUUCUGUUACAGUAGUACAAAACGGACAGAGACAAGCACACAGAGAAGUGUGCUGCAUAUUCCAUUCAGAUUUGGGAAGAUUUCAAAGGAAAUACUACUUUGUAUGGCUCGUUCAAAUUCCUACUUGGUAUUUGUAUUUAAAUUAUGGUUUCUUUUAUAGGCUUGUGGGCUGAUAAACAUGUUGAAAAUCUUUAGUGAAUGUAGUCAACAAGCUUUAAAAUGUUUAUUGUUCUUAAAAUUUUGAUAUGGCUGUUUAGGAAAUGGAAAAAAUGUGUGAAUCUGUAAAUACAGUAAGCAAUUAAUUUGCAAUCUUAACUGUCCAUAGAAAAACCACUCUUGCUAUUUUGGUAUAGAACUCUCCUGGCCACGUCACUGGACAUUUUUCUCCUUGACAGUGAAAGGUUUCCCUCCUUAUGUGCAUACUCUAUCCUCGGUUACAAGUUCCACUGCAAAACAAUGUCUUUGGUAAGGCCAAGAGGAAGGAUAUACAGGUGCCCAAUGUGUUGGAGUUAUGCUACCAGAUGGUCCACUAGGUAACAGGUCUUUAUUUAUUUUUUCUUUUCAUUCUUGUACUGUUUCACCCUCUGCCUUUAUUGGGAUUGGGAAUAUCCACAGGGAUGGACCAGCCUGGGGAAGGUAAAGGCUGCUAAGUGACUGAGGAGGUCCUGGGAGAAGUGAUGGGAGGCACUGGGAGUACCACACACCCUCUGCCCCUGGGGAUCAUUUCCAGGAUGUAGAGGGGUAACCGGAAGUCCUCAGCUCUGCGGAACCGUCCUCUGGACUCUGCCAUGGCAGCAGACGGAGCCUGGCUGAAGGGUGAAUGAAUUAUCACAUGAUCAGGAGUCCAGAGAGGAAUGUGGCCCACACAAGGUGUGUUGGAGAAAGCAGUGGAAGAUGUUUUGGAAGACUGUGACUACAAGGUUGAAGAUUUAGGACUCUAUUUCAUGGAAAAGGGAAGCCAUUCACUGAGCACCUCUGAGUAAGAAAUGAACACAAGUUUAUGAAGAUGAAUCUGGGAUCACUAUACACAUGGGUAAGAAUUUGGGAGAGAAUUUCAAGGCAGUUGCAGGGUCCUAAGAAUGACACAAAGGGUCCAUGGAGGUCACCAGGGUAUGGACUAAAAACAGGGUCCCGUGGACAAUGACAAGGUGUUGCUUUUCUUGUGGGAAGACAGGAAAGUGGGCCUGGUUUGACCUGUGAGAAGCUUUGGGGUAGGGAGGUCAGUGGGGACUGAGAGGAUUGGCGGGAAGGUGAUGAACUCAGAGCUGGGUCACAAACUCUGCAGGAGGCAAAGGCUGCUGAGCCUCAGCAGCCCAUCCUGGAGCCAGUGGUGCCUUGGGGACUGGGAAGUGGCUGUGGGCCUCCUCCCCGAGCCCUUGUUUUUCUUCCCCAUCCUUUCUUUUUCCUUUCAUUGCUUAUAUUAUUCAAGUUUUCUCCUCUGAGAGUUUUUCCUGGCUGAUAAAAUAAAUUGCUACAGAGAUUCUGGCUCCGAAGUCAUUCUGAUUGAGCUCAAAGGCAUUGGUCACACGGCUUAACUUUGCUGCUGUACCAGCCUGGAGGAGAGGGGCUGGUAAGGAGGAGAAUCAAGUGGGGCUUGGUGGCUAAUUAGAUGGGAAAAUAAAAGCAAGAGAGAGACAACAGUGACAUCACUAUUUUAAGUCGAAUGACUGGGAAACUUCCCCAAAGACAGGGUUUUGGGAAAGAUGUAAUACUUACAGAAUCUUGUUGAUGGGAGCUAAAAUAAAGCUCUUUUAGUCUAACCUCACUUCUGGUGCUCAGAUCCCCUCUCGUUGCUCUUGCCAGAAUAAUUUUUGGCCCAGGUUAGAUAUCUCCAUUAACAAGAGACAUUUUAUCUCUUCAAGUACUGUAUUUCCCUUUGGCGUUUUGCUUGAGAUGUCCUGAACUCUUGGUGAAAAGAGGCUAUUCAGUGCAUUGGAAAUGCGGGAUUCAAGUCAGCAGAGAUGGGAGAGAAAAACAUUCAGGCCAAGGUGAAGACUUGACAUUGUGACAAGUAGCUAUGAGAAAUAGUCUCUGUGGAGACAAAGAAAGGCUGAGGAGAGAACCAUGGUCAGCCUUCAGAGGACAGGAGAGAGAGAGAGAGGAAAAGGAACCACAAAAAAGAAGCCACUAGGGGAAGAAAAGAUUAAUUACAGUUCAGGGUCACGGAAGUUGAAGAAGUCAUAGGGAGUCAAGUAAUGGCCAUGUUGCAGAGAAUAAGCAGAAAGAGUAGGAAUUCUCUUUUGGCUCCUUCUGGAUUGGCUCUUCAGAGUUUGACUUAAUUAUCUUGUUAGAAGUCAAUUCUUAGACUAUGGGACAAACCUGUGUACACUCCAGGCUGAGAUCAUAUUCCAAAACCAAAUGUACAUUAUUUGAACCUGGGUUGGUACCAGGUUCAGUACACAAUCUAGCUAGCUUACUUCUUGUCAAAGAUAAGCAUUUGGAUGUUUAAGUCAGGGGACUCUGAGAUAAAAGCAUGUUGUGUCCAACAAAGACAGUGUUGAGGUCGUGUGUAUACUGUGUGUGCUUUCAUGGGAGUGACUUGACUCCUCACUAAUCUUCACCCUGAAGUCCUGGAUGCCGACUUAAGGUGGGUCGAGUGGUGAGAGCACUUUUGGAAGAGAAGGUCCAGGUCUACUCUCUGUGGUCACUGAAAGGCCAUUGAUGAUUUCAUUUUAGCCUCUACCGGACAUUUCUCUGUAUCACAGAAUCACUGGCCAUGAAACUUGGUAGAAGUGGCAGUUUUGUCUGCUGCAGGGCCCGCACUGACAGGAUACAGGAUAUUGCAGACCAGACACGCUAUGUUUUAUGGCUGCUUUCUAAGAAAGCUCUGUGGUACCUGAGGUUAUUUCCUACAGCCUGGUACCCGAUCUAUAAAUCUGAUCAUUGUGGCUAGCUCAUUUACUUUGCUUUGUAGAGAUAAAAAUGCUGUUGACACAAGGGCCCAAAGUGACUAGGAGGUAAAGCUCCUCUUAGAGGAAAAAAAAAAGCUCAUCACAUUGAUUUCAAUGCACAGGUCUGAAAUUCACCCCUUAUUUACACUUUUUGGUCAAGUUGAGAAUUGCGACCAGGACAUGUUGAUCAGUUAGCUCAUCAGAAGGUGGACCCUGCUCAGGAGAGGCAGGUGAGGCGGGGCAUCCUGAUGGGAAGAAAGUGCCAUUGAGAGGGGCAUACCCUGAGUCCAAGGUGGAGGACGUGGUGGAACUUGAGGAUAGUGAGGGCACAGGGUUCCUGGAGGGAGGCUGAAGGAAGAUCUGAAGAUCAGAGUAAGCAAGCAGAGGGGUCUGGAGUCACAGCAGUGCUGUUUCAGUGAGUGCACAGUUACCCUUGGCAGCCUUGGGGCUCUCAUUUGGGAUCCCUGUGGACCCCCAAACCUAUGGAUGCUCAAGUCCUUUACAUAAAAUGGCAGAGUAUCUGACUACGGCACCCUCCUGUAUGCUUUGAAAAUUCUCUGGAUUGUUGAUUAUAAUACCUCAUGCCACCUAAAUGCUAUAAAUAAUUGUUGUACUGUAUUAUUUGGGGAACAGUGACCCAAAAAGGCUCUAUGUGUUCAGUACAGACGCACAUAAUUUUGUUCUCCAGUUGGUUGACUCUCAGGAUGCAGAACUCACAGAUACAGAGGAUUGAGUGUACUUAUGACUCACUAGUUUUCCUUUGUCUCUGUAUUGGGGGGCUGGUCCCUCUGGGAAGGAAUAGGCUUUCCUGAUCCCAUAGAGGACAAACAUGCGGGUAAGCCCAGAGAGAGGCCUGAUUGAAAUACUCACACACUGCAUACUCAGGAAUGUUGCUAAUGUUCCUCGAGUUUCUUUCAUCUGUUAAGUUGACUUGUUUAAAUCAGAAUGUUGCUCCAAAGGUCAGGUAUUAAAUACAACCAUCUGUAUAAUGCCUGAUACCAAUCAAUGUUCUUUUUCUUUCUUUGCCACUGCAAAGCGCUUGCUCUACUAACAGGAGACUGUGGAGGCUGAGGGUGAGCAGCUGAAGAUGCACUUGGCCUCUCCGUCUGUGUGUUCUUGGGAAGUUCCAGCCCUUCUGAGAGGAGGAGGCUCCUCUGCCAGGGGCAGCAUGGCUCACGGUAUCAUGCAGGGUCUCGUGCUUAGUAGAGCCCUGGGUUUGGUUUCAUGUUCCAAGGUUGCCACCAGGGUGUUCUUAAUAACCUCGGAAAUGGGGACCUUGUUUUCAUUUUGCUUAGGACCCACAAAUCCUGCAUCUGGUCCUGGACACAGGACAUUUACCCUGUUGCAAGUGUAAGCACUCUGUCCCCACCUUCCUAAGGGGGGAGCCCAAAGGAGGUGCCAGGCAGCCAGCUGCCUGUGCUGGAGAGAACACAGGAGGAGAAUGGAAAAAAGCUCUCAGAAAAUCCUUCGGCAUGAAAGAAUCAAAAAAAAUGGAAUAAAAUAAAUUUUCCUUUUACUAAGGUCUCCUUGGCCCAUGAAAGUAUUGUGGGAAGUCGGGAUGGAUAUUUAAGUGUAUUUCUACUCUACUUCUUUACAUUACAUGUUUGAAGCCUUAAAAUAUACAUAUUCACAUAUCCUUCAACACAAACCAAAUAAUACAGCUGCCAAAGGAUUGAAGUAUUUUGGGAAACAUUUGUUCCUCUUACAUUUUGUUGAUGUCUAAACACAGUCCUUUGAAGUGAACAUUCCCUGAUCUAAGUUAAUUUAUUCAUAUCUUUACAUUGACUAUCUGGGUGGUUUUUAUGACAAAUUGUGCUGAAGCUUUGUUUCAGACCCCUAAAACCAAUGACCAAGAUGUGUGACUUUAAUAAACGUGGUGAUUUAUUUUGUCUAACCUGAGCUCAGCCUCCUAGAAACUGCUGCUGACACGGAUUUGCAAAGAGGAGAAAUCACAGUGCUUAUGAAAUCAGCUGCACCUGACACUGGUGCUCGAUGUGGGAGUCCACAUGGAAGCCAAUAUGAAGUGGGAUUUGUUCAAGAAGAGAAAGAGUCAAGAAGAGAAAGAGCUAAACCAAUUCAGCACAGGGACAUGGGUCAUAGUUGCAUUUAAAGCAAUCAGAAGAUGCUAUAUAAGGAGAUGUUUCAUCACUGAAUCUCUUUGCCUUCAGUCUAGGGAAGUUUUGAAAGACUGAAUUGCAAGACAAAGGCAUCAAGAUAACAGUGCACACAGGGACCUCCUUGGGGAGCAGCCUCCCUGCAUCUUGGUGACCCUUUCCUACCGAAGACCCAGAGGGGCUGAGACUUGGAGAAGAAAGACCUGGAGUCUGCAUUGUUUAACCACCCCUGGGCCAAGGCUGAGCACCUACACAAUGGAACUCACUGUUGAAAAACAAAGAAAACAGGAACAGAUGAAAGGUUUCGUUUUGAUUUUCCUCUAGAUUUCUGACCAGUCUGAGGAGUUGAAAUGCCAAAUUACCAUGUGAAAGUCCACUUUCCCCAUAGAUACUGAGCCUUCAUCUCAAACAAAACAACAAAAAACAAGCACCACAAACCUUAUCACCACAGUAAGAAACAAUCCUGAGCAUGGUGUCCUACACCAAAGAAGUGUGCGUGAGCAUCUAAAAUUUUAAUUAAAUGAAUUAGUGGACAUGAAAGGGUGUUGCCAAGUAUAAAGUGCCAUUUAAUUGCCUCGUGUUAUUAUUAUUAAUUAAAAUCAAUUAAACUUCAUGUGAAGCUUGUGUCCUUUUAUGAGAAAUAUGCAAAUUUGUUCUUAGAUAUAGUACUUAAUUGGAAGAUAAAAGUAAUUUUUAUCAUGGAUGGAAAACAAGUUAGAACCAACUGAGAACCAGGAUGACUGCAAAAUUCAGAAAAACAAAGUGAUGCUGUUGAAAGUUCGCUGAAAAUUGAAAAAACAAAAACUUCAUUCCUAAUUUAAUAAGUGGGGGGGGUAAGAAAUUUCACACUGGAACAUUGACAAGCCAACAGGAGGCUAUCAGCUGGUUUGGAAAAUGGAGAGAAAAGUUAGUUCUAGGUUGCUAGGCAACAGAUUUCUAAGCUGAAUUCUCUAUAUUUCUUAAAGGACUGGUUCAAUGUUUUGGUUCUACAAAUACUAGCUAUUUAUUUACUUAUUCACUGUGAAUUAGAAUGGUUGCUCUCAGCAUAAGUCUGGCGAAGCCAGGAAGAGCACAAAUGCAGGCAAUUAGAAUAUGAUUAGGAAGACAAAAGUUGCCUACAUUCUAAGGCAUUAGUGUGAAAGGGGCGAAGGGCUGGCUACCUAAUGCCACUCUGACUAACAUAGAUUCUGCAGUAUAUGGCCAAGAUGAUUCUCAAUUACAGCUUCAAAUCUCCAGGAAUUAGAGAAGACUGAUAACAUGUGUCAAGGCCCCGGCCCUCGGGAGGUCAGCCCUUGUAGGUCGAGGCUUCAUUCACACACAGGACCAUCCCUGCCAGUUCUCAGGCGUUGUUACCAACCCCAGGAAGAAGGGGGCUCCAGGGGUCCGAUAAUACUCAGCCUCAUGGUUUUGCAAACUAAUCUGAGGACGGAGAUGGAAUCUGCGGCCUCUGAGAUGAAAGCCCCUCUGGAUCUCUCUCUUAGCAGAGACACUUCGUCAAGUUUCCCUAGGAGGAGUCAGAUGCAGAGCUCGAGGGUGGGAAGGAAAACACUUUUGGCACUGGAGAAGAGGGGAGGACUUGAUUAAUGUUCAGCUAGGGAGUGGACCGGUUCUCAGAGAAAGGAAUCUUUGAUCAAUGGGAUGAAGAAGCAUCUUUCAAACCCCUUGUUUUCCAGCCACUUUAAAAAGGAACAAAAAGAAGCUGAUUCCAAAAAAAAAAGCUGAUUCAGAGCACAGCUGUUGUUAUUUAAAAACAAAAGCCAAAGAGGAAGAAGCAAAAGACAAGAAAAACUAUGCAAAACAUCAUUUCAGUUGGAUAACCUGGAAGAGCAACAAGUGAGCAAAGUCUCCUCAGAACUCAGCUCCAAACUGCAGGGGUGGUGUUGGGGCCACUCUGUGGGAAUAAACCGAGUCUGAGAGAGACAAAGCAAGAUUUCUUCACGGGCCAUCCUUUUCCCUGCAGAGCUGAGCAUAUAUCUGGGUGAGGACAUUUUCUGGAGAAAGCGGACCUAUCAAAGAGUAGGACAGGAAGCAGCUUCCACGUUGCCCACCAUGUUUAGGACAUUCCCAAAUGGGUUAUCUGAUUUAAACGGCAAGCUUUCCCCUGGGAAUGCAUUAUGAAAUUGCUAAAAGACAUGUAGAUCAUGUGCCCCUACAUUAGAACAACUAAUGGGCAGAUGCAUUAGGAAGAGUGAGUAAUCAUUUUUGUCUCCGGUGUUCCACAUGCAACUUUAUCCAACCGGAAGCUUUUGAACUCAGAUGUCAGUUUUUCAAGUCAGCUCUUUCUAGAAGCAUGUUUGGCCUCUGAAUUGUUUUCUCUCUGUUUAAUAGGCAGGUGUUAAUUUAAAGUGUUCAGAUGUUUCACGUGUCUCUUCCAAUCCUCUUCUAUGAAGUAUUGCAGUGUGUUGUUUUAAUGAUUUGUAGUUUCUCUUAAAAGAGCUGGAGAUGUGAAGCCCAGGAACUUCAACUCCUUGCACUCUGUGGGCCUGUGGGUAUAGUCUAGGAUGAGCUGCAGAAAUGUUUGCAACUGCUGCAGCAUUCUUACUCUUUUCACCUUUGCUUCCUGCAUAUCUGGUUGAAUUGCUGCUGCUCAAAACUUUUAAGAAGCUUCACAUUUAGAAAGCCUAUCCUAGUGUGCCAUUCUGGUGAAGGCAGUGUCUGCCUUGUUACACACCUGUCUGGUGAAAGGAAUCAGUCUUAAGCGGCACGGUUGUCCCAUUGCAGGGCUGCCUGUGACCAGGACUCGGCCAUCGCUAAUUCUCUAUCGCUGCGUGUCCUCAGCAUUUGAUCUGUAGGGUUUCAUAGUCGAUGUCCAAAUACUUGGAAGGAAGUGCUUGCAGUAAUGAUUCCAGUCACAGCGGCUACCAGUCAAAGCCAGCUGGAGAGUAUGAAGAAAGAGGAGCGGGGCGAGCGGUCUACUUGAUUAGAGCUUCCGUGACCCUCGGCUCAGAAACUGCCUCCUCCCCGGGAGUCCAAGGGAGCCCCUGGGGUCCACUGAAGAGCUGUGACACAGCAUAUACAGCCCGAGCCCAGAGCUCCCCUGCAGCACAGUGUGCGGCUCCUCAUCUCAGCUCUUUGACUUCAUCGGGGAGUCCUGGUCCCUGCUGCCCAGUGUCCAAAGGACCUGCCGGCCGCCUUCAGAUGGGUUUCUACUGUAUUUUCUGGGGUGUCACUGUCAGCGCACUGCUGAGAACAUCAGUCACCGCGGCCCUCUGUCCUCCAUCUCCAGCGCAGCCCUCUGCCUGCGUGGAGGACGCGGCUUCAGAACCAAAUGUAUCGAUCCGAGCCCGCUAGAGCCUGGGCUUAAUGUGUGCCCCGAAAUGAACCAGCCAUUCCGCGUGGCGCUAAAUCAUUUUUUUCCGCAAGUCAGGAGAAAAUGGCUCCAAGGAGCAUUUGAGAUUGAAGAUCACAAUAGCUAAAAAGCUGCAGGAGGGGAAAAAAUUAAGUUUUUCAGAAUUGAUUACAAUAUUUCUAAAGAGAUUCUUUAUCUUUUCACAAAAUCAAACUUUCCAUUUGGACUUGUCAGUGUUCGCUUUUUAGUGAAACCUGUUUUUAUGGUUCUUUUUGAUUAAUGGAAAGGAGUCGUAUUUUUCUUCACUGUAAUAAAAAUCAAGCUGUCUUGUGGUGCCCUUCGCAAUAGAAAUCAAGGGAUGAUUUGAACAGAAUAUUAAUAGCGCUCUUUUAAACUUCUGGGCUUUAUCCUGUUUUAAUAAACUAAAUUUUAAGCUAAUCUCUUUAGAACACAAUCUACAUUUUGUGAAAAUAUGAGCAUUUAUCACCGAGCUCGAUGGCAAUCUUUCCUACAUUUCUUCCUAUUUACAGAUAGAUGGGAAAAGAAAGGCUGUGACUACAUUCCUUUAUGUAGUCCAUGCGCUGAAUGGGGCUGACGGAAUGUGUGGUUAGAUUGGACAUCUCAAUCAUUUAUUGCAGCUAUUGUUAUAGUUUAGAAUUCAUAGGGCAUAAUUUUUAAUUCAAGGAUACAGAAUGGAUCUCUCGCUUUUAAAAAACGAUUUCUCAGUUUCUAGUGAUGUCUUUUUAGAAUCAGGCUAUGAUCUAAUAACACGAUAUAGUAUAUUUCACUAUGCAUUGAUUUAAUUUAAUUCCAUCCUACAGGAAAUCUUGGAACUUUUGCCAAUUAAGAUGUUUUCCAGCUGCUCUGAGACCCUCUCAGAAUCUUUAGUGGACAACAGAAGUAUUUUAAUGUCUGUGGCUUAGCAUCUCUCUUAUGUAGGAGUUCUUAGCUUUUUAUGCCACCAUAUUUGAAACAAAUCAUUCCACGAAAAUAUUAUUUUUCAACUUCUUUUCGUAAUUUUCCCCCUUACACACACAGGAGCCUUUUUGGAUACUUUUGCCCUAACUGUUCCCUUUUCCUAAGUACAGAAAUGUG